UGCACCUUUUAGAAUUUCCAGGGCUUACUUAUCCUUUCCUGAAGGUUUUUCUCAUGGGAAAGAAUAGCAUGGUCUAAAAGGAACAUCAGAAAUCAGAAUUUUGUGGUUUGUAGUUUUCUUAAGAAUGAAAGAAUGAAGGGAAACACUAAGCAACAAAUAUGUUAGAAUGCAAACUGACAGGAUGUGUCUGAAAUGUAGAGUAAAAUGGAAUGGGAUGAGAAUCUGAUGGGAAGAUAUAUUUCCAUCUGUAGCUUCUGCCUAUUGUUAUAAUAUUUGAAAUCAAGAAUCUUUGUUUGUUCCAAUAAGCAGCGUUAAGGUCUCAGACUUCACUACACUAGAUAAUGGAAUCUCACCUCAGUAACAGAAGCUGCAAAACCAGCCCAGAUACCAUCCCUGCAAGACAAUGGACAUUGCUGGAGAGUUCAUCACAGGAAUGAGUCAGUCAGAGAGUGGACAGAAUGGAGGGGAGUAUCCCAUUAUAUGAAAUAAAACUUGAAUUGUUAAAUCUCGCCAAGAUUUU
Molecule: long non-coding RNA, 520 nt
Organism: Mauremys reevesii (Reeves's turtle)
Lineage: Eukaryota; Metazoa; Chordata; Testudines; Geoemydidae
Exons: 3
Source: RefSeq, a predicted model, not a curated record